Molecule: unclassified non-coding RNA, 148 nt
Organism: Macaca mulatta (Rhesus monkey)
Lineage: Eukaryota; Metazoa; Chordata; Mammalia; Primates; Cercopithecidae
Rfam family: Metazoan signal recognition particle RNA
About the family: The signal recognition particle (SRP) is a universally conserved ribonucleoprotein.
Source: Ensembl
GCCAGGCAUGGUGGCAUAUGCCUGUAAUCCCAGCUACUUGGGAGGCUGAGGUGGGAGAAUCACUUGAACCCAGGAGAUGGAAGUUACAGUGAGCCAAGAUUUGGCCACUGCACUUCAGCCUGGGUGACAGAGUAAGACUCAAUCUCAA